Molecule: ribosomal RNA, 507 nt
Filed under: Yola bicarinata
Lineage: Eukaryota; Metazoa; Arthropoda; Insecta; Coleoptera; Dytiscidae
Description: partial 16S ribosomal RNA
Rfam family: Bacterial large subunit ribosomal RNA (bases 384-507)
Source: RNAcentral
GUCCUUUAGAGAAGAAUUUAAGGUUUAACCUGCCCAUUGAUUAUUUUAACGGCCGCAGUAUUUUAACUGUGCAAAGGUAGCAUAAUCAUUAGUUUUUUAAUUGAAAGCUUGUAUGAAUGGUUGGACGAAAUAUAAACUGUCUUUAAAUUAUAAAUAGAAUUUAAUUUUUAAGUUAAAAAGCUUAAAUUUAUUUAAAAGACGAGAAGACCCUAUAGAUUUUUAUAUUUAUUAAUUAUAUUUUAUAAGGAUUAUUAGUUUUUAUAUUGAAAUAAAUAUUUUAUUGGGGUAAUAGGAAGAUUUAUAAAAUUCUUUUAUUUUUAAACAUUGAUUAAUGAUUUUUUUUUGAUCCAUUAUUAUUGAUUAUAAGAUUAAAUUACCUUAGGGAUAACAGCGUAAUUUUUUUAAAGAGUUCUUAUCGAUAAAAAAGUUUGCGACCUCGAUGUUGGAUUAAAAUUUAUUUUAGGUGUAGUAGUUUAAAUAUUUAGUCUGUUCGACUAUUAAAAUUUU